GACGAACGCUGGCGGCGUGCUUAACACAUGCAAGUCGAACGGAAAGGCCCUGCUUUUGUUGGUUGCUCGAGUGGCGAACGGGUGAGUAACACGUGAGUAACCUGCCCUUGACUUUGGGAUAACUUCAGGAAACUGGGGCUAAUACCGGAUAGGAGCUCCUGCUGCAUGGUGGGGGUUGGAAAGUUUCGGCGGUUGGGGCUGGACUCGCGGGUUAUCAGCUUGUUGGUGGGGUAGUGGCUUACCAAGGCUUUGACGGAUAGCCGGCCUGAGAGGGGGACCGGCGACAUUGGGACUGAGAGACGGACCAGAAGCCUACGGGAGGCAGCAGUGGGAAGCAUGGCACAGUGGGCGGAAGCCUGAUGCAGAAACGCCGCGUGCGGGAUGACGGCCUUCGGGUUGUAAACCGCUUUCGACGGAGACGAAGAGUGAGUGACGGUAAUGGGUAAAGAAGCACCGGCUAACUACGUG
This 468-nucleotide ribosomal RNA is filed under the name uncultured bacterium. Its description in RNAcentral is "partial 16S ribosomal RNA". It matches the Rfam family "Bacterial small subunit ribosomal RNA", at positions 28 to 507 of the family's 1533-position model. The record is from RNAcentral.